GCAUAUGGAGGUUCCAGGCUAGGGGUCAUAUUGGAACUGCUGCUGCCAGCCUACGCCACAGCCACAGCCACGGGACCCGAGCCACGUCUGCGAUCUACACCACAGCUCACCGCAGCGCUGGAUCCUUCACCCACCUUGUGAGGCCAGGGAUCAAACCUGUGUCUUCAUGGAUACUAGUCAGGUUUGCAACCCGCUGAGCCACAGCAGGAACUCCCUGCGGUCAGGCUCUUAACCCACUGCACCACAGUGGGAACUCCCGCUGUUCGCUUGGGGCGCCCACCAGCCAAAGGGCGAGGGCCCAGAAGGCUAAGGGUGGGUGGGGGCAGACUCAGUCAUGCACCACCCCCUGCGCCCUUGCUGGAAGCGUGGUCCAAGGGGGGCAACGUAUAAUGUGAGCACAUGAGGCUGUGGGCACCUCGAUUUGCACACCUCGGCCCUGGAUGCCCUCACAGGACCGGAGGCCGGCGGAGCACCGCCCCCACUCCUGGGACCGGCCCGGCCCGGCCCCAGCCAUCACCCCCCCCCCCGCCGCCGCCACGGCCCCCCUGACAAAACAGCGAGGGAAGAUGUGCCCACGUGGGGCCCUGGGUUCAGAGGAGCACAGGGAAGCUGUGCAGAGCAAACGCGGAUGGAGGCAGCCGACCGUGGGGUACGGUCCAGUGAGCCCCACUCCCUCAGGGAGAUGAGCGAGCCCAGGAGCAGUUAAGAGCAGUGAAUUCUUCAGAGCCAAUUAAAAAAGCAAUUGUGGACAAUGGCAUUUGAUUCGUAAGAUGGGAGGGAAGCUUGCACGUGGCCUUGGUGAAAAUCUCUACAGCCCAGCCCUGCGGGUGGACCUGGCCAGGCACUGAGCUGGCCGCCUGGCACCGAGGCGCAGCCAGAUAACCCCUCAGGAGUCUACCGCCUGGCAGGGAUGCGGGCUGGCGACCCCACAUCAGGGGCCAAAAUUCCUAAGCCCAGCACCUGACACGCUACCAACCCACUCAGGGAGGCGCCCUGUUUUCCCCAUUCAACAGGCUUCAACCGGAUCAUUUUAACUUACUGGACAGAGAACACAACGAGAAGUCAACUGACUUUCUUAACAUCAGCCCCAGGGUAGGGGCAUCGGAGGAGUUUCCUGGUUGUUGAUGCCAUAAAAAGACGGAUUCAAGAGUUUGCAGCUCUUCUUUUUUUUAUUUGCUCUUUUUUUGCUUUUCAGGGCUGCACCCACGGCAUAUGGAAGGUCCCAGGUUAGGGGUCCAGUCGGGUACAGUCCACAGCCGGCGGCUACAGCUCCGAUUCAACCCCCAGCCUGGGAAUCUCCAUAUGCCGCGGCAGCGGCCCAAGAAAUGGCAAAAAGACCAAAAAAAAAACAACAACAAGGGAUUCACUAAAAUAUGACGCAAGCGACCCCAUCUACAAAACAGAAACGGACUCAGAGACACGGAGAACAGACUCGUGUGUGCCAAGAGGGAGGGGAAGGGAGGGAUGGACGGGGAGUUUGGGGUCAGUAGAUGCGAACUAUUCCAUUUCGAAGGGCUAAGCAACGAGGUCCUGCUGUGCAGCCCAGGGAACUCUAUCCCACCUCUUGGGACAGAACAUGACGGAAGACGAUACGAGAAAGGGAAUGUGUGUAUGUGUGUGACCGGGUCACUUUGCUGUGCGGCAGAAAUGGACGCAACACUGUAAAUCAACUCUAAUAAAAAAUUUUAAAUAAACCAAGAGAUUCAAAUCAGAUCCCAACCCGCCCUGUGACCGGGUCCAGUUACGCAGCCUCCGGAAACAGCUCCAUCAUCUGAAAAGUGGGGCUUCAUCCAGGAGCCCGGCUCUGUCGGGCGGUCUGAAGACACGCACACGCCACCGUCAUCCUCAGAUUCCCCUGCCCGACGGCCUGUCGCGGCGCAAGGCGUGCAAGUUAUUUGUAUUGUUCCUCCAGUGCACAGAACUCCCUCACGCCCUUUGCUUUCUCCGAAUGAACUCCGAUUUCAUAAUUCAGCGAGAGCGCCAGCGGCGGUGGCAGAGCGAGCGGCCUGAAGGUGAUGGCCCCAGGAAUCCCGAAAGGGCAAGCCGGGGAGGUGGGCUCAUCGCGCGUCGGCCCCUUGGCUGUGCUCGCGGGACUCCCCCGACGAACUCCUCCGAGAAGACAGCGGCAGGAACCACCCCACUCCAGGUCCUCAAAACCGGCCGCCUCUGCCUGCUCAUUUCACGCCAUUCACAGGAUGUUGUCCCUUUGAACGAGCAUGGUUUCUGGGUGUCAACCGCGAGUCUAUUAGCACAGACACUGUGAUAAUGAAUGGAAAUUUACAUCCUGUGUAAUCUCAUUAAUUGUGCGAUCAUAUCGGUUUUGACAGUUUUAAUGCAUUGCUAACGAAAAUAGUCUAAUACACGACAUUAAAGAUCUUAUCAAGGUUAAUUUGCCUUAAAAUGUAGUUACUAUGUAAUUUUUCACUUCCAUUUAGAUGCUGUGGUUUAAACACAUGGCAAUUUGACCCAGAAGGAAAGUACCCACACAUUCCCACAGAAUCAGAGUGGCCUUCCUCACCUCUCAGGGGGCGAAGGGGAGAGGGAAAUAAGCAUGGGAUUUAGCACCGCUGGGGCGCGUUUCCAGCUCAGCACAUAUGUGCUGUGUGACCUUGGGCAGAGUGCUGAACCUCCCCGGGCCUUGAGUUCUUCGCAAAGGGGUGCAGGAAUCCCUACCUCACUGGAUCAUCAUAAGGUGGAAACAGGUGCACAGAAGGCCCAGCAGAGCACCUGGCACCUAGUAGGUACUUUUUAUUCUUCUUCGCCGUCACAUGCUCAACAGCUGGCACCAGGCGUGGCACGUGGGAAGUCCACUUUCAGUGGAUCCAGGGUGGCCAAGGAGACCGCGUUUAAAGAGACAGCUGAACAACAUCGACAGACCAGCCAGUGACAAUCCAGAGCCAAAGAGAAAGUGGGGGAGGCGGAG
This 2923-nucleotide long non-coding RNA is filed under the name Sus scrofa (pig). RNAcentral's name for it is "lncRNA (ENSSSCG00015074183.1)". Lineage: Eukaryota; Metazoa; Chordata; Mammalia; Artiodactyla; Suidae. The record is from RNAcentral.